GGGAAAAUAGCGUUCACGCUAUCCUAGGUUACCGUGAUCAUGAAGGCGGUUCCUCCAGGGUGAGGCUCUUCCAUUGCACUACGGUUGAGCUGACCUCUGCGAAUAUCCCUAAUGUGGAUAUCUCGGACGUACAAUUUUUGGUAGUCGGGACUGCGUUCGCGCUAUCCCGGAUAA
RNAcentral lists this small nuclear RNA (174 nucleotides) under Apis florea (little honeybee). RNAcentral describes it as "uncharacterized LOC116414702, transcript variant X3". The stretch from base 16 to 170 matches the Rfam family "U1 spliceosomal RNA". Rfam says of the family: U1 is a small nuclear RNA (snRNA) component of the spliceosome (involved in pre-mRNA splicing). Lineage: Eukaryota; Metazoa; Arthropoda; Insecta; Hymenoptera; Apidae. The record is from RNAcentral.